RNAcentral lists this small nuclear RNA (101 nucleotides) under Otolemur garnettii (small-eared galago). The record is from RNAcentral. Lineage: Eukaryota; Metazoa; Chordata; Mammalia; Primates; Galagidae.
GGUCUUCAGCAGUACAUAUAAUCCAAAUUGGCCUGGUAUGGGGAAGAUUAGCAUGGCUCCUGCAGGAUGACACAUAACUUUGUGAAGUGUUCCAUGUUAGA